This is a long non-coding RNA of Pygocentrus nattereri (red-bellied piranha), 761 nucleotides long. RefSeq lists it as uncharacterized. The transcript has 4 exons. NCBI's taxonomy places the organism in Eukaryota, Metazoa, Chordata, Actinopteri, Characiformes, Serrasalmidae. The record is from RefSeq and is a predicted model, not a curated record.
CGGAGCUCCGCAGUUUAUUUGACCAAGCACGGACUAUAAAAAUGCGGAGGCUAAAGAAAACACAUGACAUGACCGAGCUGAACCAAAAGUGAGACAGUAUAAUGAAAAUGCUGAGUUGUGCUGCACUUUCCUGCAACAAUACCCACUUUUUAAGAGCUAUAAGCAAGACAUAGAUUCAAUCAAGUCAUAAGAGACUACAGAUCACGGGUGGCCUAUAUUAUACCUCAAAUGGUUAAAUGAGAUCUGCUGGAACAAUGUAAACGGUGGCAGUGCUGUGGCCCUCCAAGAUUUGGAGUAAACCAAGGGACAUCCUCCCAAAAGAGAUGGAGUCGACUCCUCAACUCCACGCAGAGAUUAAGCCGUCCUAAAUGUAGUUUACAGCACUGUCACAACUAAGACAUUUUCAUGACACAGUGCUAAGAUUGACUACGGCUGAUUUUUAAAUUCAUAUUGGACAAAAAGUGUAAAAGCCAAAAUUUGAUAACUCACAUAGAGUCCACUAUGGAGGUAGAGGUGAGCCACUUGAGGUUCAUCUUUAGGAUUUUCUGAAGUAUGAUCUUAUAGAUGUUUAAUAUUGCCCAUUAAUGAGCUGGUUUUAUUGCCACUUUCAGCACUUUACCUACUUGUUUUAUGUUAAAGAAUGUUAAAUAUUGCACUUAAAAGGUACUUGUACCCAUUACAUUGUUAACUUUGAAACAAGAAAUGACCAUUGGAGUUCUCUGCUUUUGCCACAAACAAAAUAAAAACUAAUUUUCAAAGUU